Molecule: small RNA, 1061 nt
Filed under: Rattus norvegicus (Norway rat)
Lineage: Eukaryota; Metazoa; Chordata; Mammalia; Rodentia; Muridae
Description: uncharacterized LOC108352460
Source: RNAcentral
GUUCCCACCUUGAUGAUAAUGGACUGAACCUCUGAACCUAUGGGCAAAUGGAGGCUCCGAGCAACAGAACGACGCUCCUUUCCUACGCGGAGAAUGAAGCCUUCCCCCACCCUCCCUCCGGACUGCAGAUUCCCAGUGAGCUAUCUCCAGACUGACUUGGGCUUUCUCUUCGGCUCUCGGUGGACAGGGGACUCCGUGCCUCACUCAUCCUGAGCUUCACGUGUCUGAUAGCGAUUGGGAUCAAGUCGGUCUGAUCACUUAGCUAUGCUGGUCACACCCCGUAUCCCAGAACUGUGUUGAAAAAUGCAAUUUGUAACAUCCCAGGUGGAAAAUUUCUGAUUCUCUCUGACGGAGAAUGCCGAGGAGGAUUGGUCUCUAGUCUAGCGGAAAUAUAAACAUCGGUUCUGAGAAUAAAGGAGACUGGGCUUUUCACUGAAUCUGAUGCUCACCAAUUCUGAUCAACUUUUCAGAUACACGUGCAUCUACGUAUGAGCCUGAGGAGUCAGAGGUAUCGGAUACCUGGAGCUGGAGUUAUAGGCCGUUGUGAGCAGCUGCUGUGAGUGCCUAGAAUUAAACACAAGAACAAAGCAUGCCCAUAGCCAUGGAGCCAUUUCUCCAGUCCUGCCAUUGUGUGUUAUGUUCCAUUAAAAUGAGGUUAAGAAAGCCGGAGUGUCCUGGAGAUGGAUGUAAGUGGAGGGGGUAUGCGAGAAGAGCAGCAAAAGAAGUAAAUGGUUUGUUCUGUGCUGACGUCAUUAACCCCACCCACUCAUCCCCCCCAACCCAGUCAGCAUCAUUAGGAAACAGGCAAGGAAGUCUGUUCUACUCCUGUAGAUUACACACUUAGUAUGAACAUCUAGGUCAGGUUUGGGAGGGGAGUUUAAUGCUGUACGUUGUCUAACAGAUUAGUAAUGUCUCGCUCCAAUCAAUGGGAUGGGAAGCUUUUGAAUCACUGGCUAAAGUGAAAGCGUGCUAUAAUUGAUUAGUGAUGUCUGCCUGGGUAAGCAGCAGCAGGCUUGGAAUUUGCCUGAUCUAAAGACCCUGGCUUUGAAGGACACCAUGGU